UGACGCUGAGGCGCGAAAGUGUGGGGAGCAAACAGGAUUAGAUACCCUGGUAGUCCACACUGUAAACGAUGAAUGCUAGGUGUAGGGGGUAUCGACCCCUUCUGUGCCGCAGUCAACACAAUAAGCAUUCCGCCUGGGGAGUACGGCCGCAAGGUUGAAACUCAAAGGAAUUGACGGGGGCCCGCACAAGCAGCGGAGCAUGUGGUUUAAUUCGACGCAACGCGAAGAACCUUACCAGGUCUUGACAUCCAGGUAAAGCCGUAGAGAUACGGUGUGUGCUUGCACAAUCUGAGACAGGUGGUGCAUGGUUGUCGUCAGCUCGUGUCGUGAGAUGUUGGGUUAAGUCCCGCAACGAGCGCAACCCUUAUUUUCAGUUACUAACGGGAAAAGCCGAGGACUCUGAAGAGACUGCCGGGGACAACUCGGAGGAAGGUGGGGACGACGUCAAAUCAUCAUGCCCCUUAUGACCUGGGCUACACACGUGCUACAAUGGCCACCACAGAGAGGAGCGAACCCGCAAGGGGGAGCGGAUCUCAAAAAAGUGGUCCCAGUUCGGAUUGUGGGCUGCAACCCGCCCACAUGAAGUCGGAGUGCUAGUAAU
RNAcentral lists this ribosomal RNA (601 nucleotides) under uncultured bacterium. RNAcentral describes it as "bacterial SSU rRNA". It matches the Rfam family "Bacterial small subunit ribosomal RNA", at positions 741 to 1342 of the family's 1533-position model. The record is from RNAcentral.